Quercus lobata is the source of this 379-nucleotide long non-coding RNA. RefSeq lists it as uncharacterized. NCBI's taxonomy places the organism in Eukaryota, Viridiplantae, Streptophyta, Magnoliopsida, Fagales, Fagaceae. The record is from RefSeq and is a predicted model, not a curated record. The transcript has 2 exons.
GAGCUGGCGUAAAAGACACCUUUUACGCCUGCCAAUCAGCCAAUCCUGGAGCGACACGUCAGCCAAAACAUUUAAACUCAAUACACCUUAUUACAUGUCAUUAUAACCCAAUUAAAACCCCAAAUGUUCCUCAAACACGUUCAAAGCUUCUUCUUCAAACGGCAAACCAAGGGCAGAUUCUCCUCCUCCUCCCCACAACGGAGCUUCAUUCCGAGACAGUGAUCACCGGAGUUAUUUUUAGAGCCUGAAAAAGAUGCUGAAUCCGCCGUUAGUCUAAUGUCACAAUCUCAAGAAUUGCAGAUAGAUGGUUUUGAAUACUUAAAAGAAAACUUCCCUACUGGCUUGACUGAAUUCUUGGAGUAUAUGGCUAGAGUUGGUG